UCAGACGAUGCGUCAUGCAUAUCAAUAAGCGGAGGAAAAGAAACUAACAAGGAUUCCCUUAGUAACGGCGAGUGAAGCGGGAAGAGCUCAAAUUCGAAAUCUUGAAAGGUUACCUUUCACGAAUUGUAGUUUAAAGAAGUGUUUUCUGUUAAGGUUUUGGCAAAAGUUCUUUGGAAUAGGACAUCAUAGAGGGUGAGAAUCCCGUAUUUGACCUUUACUUUCAACUUUGUGAUACACUUUCAAAGAGUCGGAUUGUUUGGGAAUGCAGUCCAAAAUGGGUGGUAAAUUUCAUCUAAAGCUAAACAUUGGCGAGAGACCGAUAGCGAACAAGUACCGUGAGGGAAAGAUGAAAAGAACUUUGAAAAGAGAGUUAAACAGUACGUGAAAUUGUCAAAAGGGAAGCGUUUGACACCAGUGUUGUUUUUCUGAAAAUCAAUUAAAGAACUGUUUAUGCUAAGUUGUUUAGACUUUAUCAGCUAACUGUUUAGUUUUGAGCUUUUCUUUAAUGCACUUUUCAGUUAACAAGUCAACAUCAAUUUCUUUUGCUGUAAAAAAAGCUUGAGGAAGGUGGCUUGAGAUUCGUCUUAAGUGUUUAUAGCCUCUUGCCUAUGCAGUCGGAGAGAUUGAGGUCUGCAGCGUAGAUCCUUCGGGGCUAAAUGCAUUUGUGCUUAAGUUAUAGCAUUUUAUAGACAACUUGUUGACUAUGAUUUGUCUUGUAGCUUACUCGCUUCUGCUAUUUUACCUACGCUUAGGAUGUUGAGCGCAUGUCUCUCUCU
RNAcentral lists this ribosomal RNA (776 nucleotides) under uncultured Neocallimastigales. RNAcentral's name for it is "partial large subunit ribosomal RNA". It matches the Rfam family "Eukaryotic large subunit ribosomal RNA", at positions 18 to 616 of the family's 3401-position model. The record is from RNAcentral. Lineage: Eukaryota; Fungi; Neocallimastigomycota; Neocallimastigomycetes; Neocallimastigales.